RNAcentral lists this small RNA (96 nucleotides) under Klebsiella pneumoniae. RNAcentral describes it as "partial RtT sRNA". It matches the Rfam family "RtT RNA", at positions 1 to 95 of the family's 130-position model. Rfam says of the family: This family represents a bacterial cis-regulatory element known as RtT RNA. The exact function of RtT is unknown although it is thought that it may be involved in changing the cellular response in relation to amino acid starvation. Lineage: Bacteria; Pseudomonadati; Pseudomonadota; Gammaproteobacteria; Enterobacterales; Enterobacteriaceae. The record is from RNAcentral.
UAUUCUGCCCCAUGGGGAAGGAUGAGAAGCUUCGACUAAGGUUCGACUCGAGCGAAGCGAGAGAACGUUGCCGCAGGCAACGGCCCGAAGGGCGAG